Molecule: ribosomal RNA, 381 nt
Filed under: uncultured eukaryote
Lineage: Eukaryota
Description: SSU rRNA
Rfam family: Eukaryotic small subunit ribosomal RNA
Source: RNAcentral
AGCUCCAAUAGCGUAUAUUAAAGUUGUUGCGGUUAAAAAGCUCGUAGUUGGAUUUCUUCUCUUGUCAGCCGGUCCCAGCUUCGCUGGAGUAUCUGGUCAGAUUUGAGAAUCCUCUUGAGGAACGUCGCUGCGCUUGAUUGCGUGGCACGGUAUUCAAGACUUUUACUUUGAGGAAAUUGGAGUGUUCACGGCAGGCAUUCGCCUUGUACACAUUAGCAUGGAAUAAUAAUAUAGGAUCACUAUUCUAUUUUGUUGGUUUCUAGAGUUGUGAUAAUGAUUAAUAGGGACAAUUGGGGGCAUUUGUAUUAACACGUCAGAGGUGGAAUUCUUGGAUUGUGUUACGACAAACUACUGCGAAAGCAUUUGCCAAGGAUGUUUUCA